CGCGGUUGAAUUUUUCUGAAGAGAACUUCUAUAAUUAUUUAUUCCAAAUAUUUUUGUACUUCCAUUAGUCUAAAUUCGAAUAAUAAAUAGUAAUUCUUAUUCCAAAUAAGAAUCUAGUAUUAUGAACUAAAUAAUUUGGUAUACCUUCGAAAGAGAUCGAAAUAUAUAUUGUUGUUUAUGGCUUUCUUCAAUUGUAUUUUAGAAGUUUAUAAAUGUUAUGUAAAAUUGAGAAUAAAACUAUUUUAGACUGUUUAACUGAAUUUAAAUGUUGUAAACAAUUGGCUUAUAAAAUAAAAUAAAAUAUACAUUUUUCAGAACCUAGUAUAGAAUUUAUAAAAUAACUAACACCAAUAUUAAUAGUUAUCACCAGUCGCGGGUUGGGCUGAUUCAAAAUAUGACACAAUUAUUUAAGAUAAUAUAUACUAUAAAAUUCACAAUGGUGGAGGUCUUUUCAAAUAUGGUCUCAUUAAAGUUUUAUAAUAAUAAAUAAUAUGUAAAAUUUGUAUAAUUAAAAAAAUCAUUGUAUUUUUCACAACGAAGUCCAUCUCUAAUUAUUCUUAAAAAUUCGGGAUUUUUUAUAUUGUUUUAUAAUCUUACAUAUAAAACACAUUUACAUAAUAUGAUACAUAUUCUUAAAGACAUCAAAUAAUCUUUAAAAAACAUGAUGAAAGGGAAAGUUUAGAUUAUUUAGUAUAUAAUCCAUGACAAUAAUGAUUUUUAUUUGAAUAUAAACAGAAAGUUUUGGUAAACUAAUACUAUACCAUAUUUACACCAUUAUUAACUGCAGAAUUUUUAUUUGUAAAAUAACUAAAAAGACAUGAUUUGGUGUUUAUACGUCUUAUAGGAAGCAAUAUAUUAUGGAUAGUGACAAGGUUAUUGAUGAGAAAUGUUUGUCUUAUUGAUUUUGAAAAUGAGUUGAGCAAUAAUACAAAACUAGACUUUGAUCCGCGCGCCCGCGCGGGUGUAUUUUUCAAAAAUAUGUUACUGUUUGUUUUUCAUGUCACUAUUAGGAUUGUGCAAAAAACCUGAAUCCAAAAAACCGAUCCGAUCCCGAUCUAAAAAAGUAGUAUCAAAUCUGAACCGAAAUUGAUUAAAUAUCUGAAUUAUUCAAAAUUUUAGUAUUUAGAGAACUGAAACCGAAUCUGAUCCAAACUAAAAUAUUUCGGGUAUCCGAAUAUAUCCGAAAUAGAUUUAUAUACUUAUAUAUAUUAAUUGUUUAUAGAUUUAAUGUAUAUAAAAACAUCCAGAAUAUAAAAGAUACUUUUAAGUUGGUUUAAAUACUUGAAAAUAUAUACAAAUUGUCAAAAGUAAACAUCUAAAAUCGUUAAAGUAUACUCAAAAUACUAAAAAUACUUAAAAUAAUAAUUAAUUCUCUAUCUAAAUAUUUAAACCAAACCAAUUUAUAUGUUAAGUUUAGGUAUCCUGACAAGUGUUAUUCAAAUUUAUAUGUAAUAUAUUAUUUUAUUUAUAGAUUUUGAGAAAUUUAAAGUAUAUAAUGAAUUUUAAAAUUUUAAAAAUCAUUUAAAUGAGUUAUCUGAAUCUGAACCUAAUCUGCAAUGAUUCAAACCGAACCCGAAUCAAAAUUUAGAAAUAUCCAAAUGGGACUAAAGUCUUUGACCCCAAAAAUCUGAAAUCCAAAGAGACCCGACCGAACCGAAUGAGUAUCGUAACACCCAUCCCUAGUCACUAUUAUAUAUCAUAUAUGUAUCCUCAUAUAAUUAAUCGUAUUUUAUACAUAUCAUCAUAUAAGUAAUCAUAUAAUUAAUAAUAUUUUAAAUAUAUCAUCACAUAAAUAAUCAUAUAAAUUAUACUUUUAAAACUUAAUGUGAAAUAUAAAAACCAUUACUUAAGAUGGUGUUUGAAAUUGAGCUUUGUAUUAUAUUUUUCUUAUAUAUAUUGAAAACAUUUUUUUGAUAAUGGUUGUUGGAAAACAUUUUAGUAAAAAUCAAUUUUUGAAUAUAUGUAUAUUUUUGAAUCAAUUUUUGAUUUAAAAUAUGUAUAUAAAAUUUAUUUUAGAAAAAAGAUGUUUUAGGUUAUUAGAUUAGACCAUUUUCGUAUAUUUUAAAGAUAGUCUAAAUAUAUAGUUUCUCGUAAUAUAAUAGAAUUCACAUAAGCCCAUUAAUACUUUUUUUUAAUAUACUGCUAUUCCAAACAAUAUUAUAUAUAUUUUUAAAAAUGUUAUUUAUGCUUCUAAAUAAUUUUCAAAAGUACUUAUAUUUUAAUAAGAUAAAUAUUAUUUUAUUUGUUCGUGCAGAUUAUUGUAAAUAAUUAUGAGGGCAUCCGACAAGUUUUAAGGAAAUCAUGAGAUAAGAGAGCCAAAAAAUAUCUACCUUGGAGAACAAAAAACGUGAGAAGAAAGUUUAGGAUGAAAUAAUUAGGUAAUAUUCUGUUGCUAAGAUCUGUUGCUAAGAUUGCACGAGAGAUUCUUGCUAUUAACCUUGCGAUUUUUACAUAGACAUGUUAGUUAGCUAAUUAUUGUGUCCAUAUCUAGAAUUUCUAUUUUAUGAGCGUGUUUUUCAAAAUUGUAUGGUUAACUAAACCAGUUGGUUUAGGAGACAAACGGGCCAAGAACCAAAAUUGUAAUUCCAUUCAUUUCGAUUUGGUUCAUGCUUUAUUCAUGUUUCCAAACAAUUUGAUUUAAAUUGCUAUACUUGUUUCCAAACAACUCUAAUGUGUACUUCAGUUUUAAUAAUAUAGAUAUAUUACUGACACUGUUGUCGUGUUGUAUCUUGGCAAAUGGUAGUUUAGGCUACUAUUUGUUUAAAUGAUUUUCACGUAAAACGUGUCUUUUUGGUAACCAAUAUAUAAUAUAAUGGUCGUCUCGGUGCAAGUUCUAAUUAGAUACAUAAUUUGAAAAUCUUAUGUCAUAUUAUAUUCUAUAUUAUAAUAUUACAUACAAUAUUUUGACUAUUAUAUAUAUAUUUGUUAAGGAAAUCUAUGUUUUUCCUAAUAUAUAUAUAUAUAUAUAUAUAUAUAUAUAUUCUUAAGUAAAUCUAUAUUUGUCGUAGAACUAAGAAUAUGUUUUUAUUUUUUUAUGAAUCUAUAAAAUAUUUUUUGAGAAAAUAAGAACUGUUAUACAAACUAUUACUUAUUAUAUUAUUUCACUUCUGUAAAUGUAUGCAUGAAUUUAAUUAUAUCUAUAUAUUACCCAUUAAGAAUUGAAGAAUAUAUUUUUUAACUAUAUGAAAUUAGUAAAUAAAAAUGUAGUUGCUAAUUUCUUGCUAAUUACUUUGGGGAAAACCCCAGAAAGAAAACCAAGGGAGGCUUAUGUUUUCAAAUAACGACCAUGGAAGAGGACGAAAUGGAAGAGGCAACGAUCGAGGUCGGUUAACAAUCAGAACCAUGUGUCACACACCAAAGAAGGAUCGUUCAAAGGUGAUAUGUUGGAGAUGUGACAAGCCAGCUCACUUUACAAAAUUCUUUCCCAAGAAACCGAUAACAAUCAAGAAGCCAACCAAAACGAGACACAAGAGGCCGACGCCCUCUAUGUACAUGAGUUGGUGUUCUUGAAUGAAGACAAAGUGAUUCCGAAGAAUCUUGAUAUCGACAAAGGCAAUGCAAUUGUUUGGUAUUUAAAUAAUAGAGCGAGCAAUCACAUAACAGGAAACAAGGAGCUCUUUUCGAGUUUGGAUCAAAACACCAAAGGGAAGGUGAAGUUUGGUGAUGGUUCAUGUAUUGAUAUUGUAGGAAAUGGUGUGGUUACUAUUGUGUGCAAUACCGGAGAGAAGAAGGCACUCAAAGACAUAUAUUACAUACCGACCUCAAGCAUAACAUAUUGUAUCUUGGACAAGCGACAGAAAACGGAUAUGAGUGAAAGACAUCUCUUUAACAGUCACAUAUUCAUGUCGAAGAGUGCUAGUAUGAGUUACAAGAUCUUCAAACCGUAUCUACAAGAUCCCAAUGGAGAUUAGCUACAUGAAGUGUUUACUUGUCAGAGAUGAAGAUGCUACAUAGAGGUGGUAUGCUCAACUAGGACAUAUAAGCUAUGGAGUUAUGAACACCAUGGUAAAGGGAAAACACAUUUACAUUAUAUGAUACAUAUUUUUAUAUACAUCAAAUAAUCUUAAAAAAAACAUGAUGAAAGGGAUAGUUUAGAUUAUUUAAUAUAUAAACCAUGCCAAUAAUGAUUUUUAUUUAAAUAUAAACAGAAUGUUUUGGUAAACUAAUACUAUACAAUAUUUACACUAUUAUUAAUUACAUAAUUUUUAUUGUAAAAUAACUAAAAAGACAUAAUUUGAUGUUUAUAUGUUUUAUAGGAAACAAUAUAUUAUUGAUAUUGACAAGGUUAUUGAUGAGAAAUGUUUGUCUUAUUGAUUUUGAAGAUGAGUUGGCCAAUAAUGCAAAAUAUAUCACUGACACUGAUGUCGUGUUGUAUCUUGGCAAAUGGUAGUUUAGACUACUAUAUGUUUAAGUGAUUUUCACGUAAAACUUGUAUUUUUGGUAACAAAUAAAUAAUAUAAUGGCCGUCUCAGUGCUAGUUCUAAUUAGAUACAUAAUUUGUAAAAUUUUAUGUCCUAUUAUAUUUUAUAUUAUAAUAUUCCAUACAAUAUUUUGACUAUUAUAUAUUUUUCUUAUGGAAAUCUUUAUUUUUCCUAUAUAUAUAUAUAUAUAUAUAUAUAUUCUUAAGUAAAUAUAUAAUUUUUCAUAUAACUAAGAAUAUAUUUUUAUUUACUUAUGAAUCUAUAAGAUAAUUUUUGAGAAAAUAAGAACUGUUAUACAAACUAUUACCUAUAGCAUUAUUUCACUUCAGUAAAUGCAUGCCCAAAUUUCAUUAUAUCUAUAGAUUACCCAUUAAGAAUGGACGAAUAUUUUUUAUCAACUAUACAAAAUUAGUAAAUAAAAAAGUAGUUGCUAAUUUCUUGCUAAUUAAUUUUGGCCUCAUAUUUAAUCCAUCAAAAUUACACACACACACACACACACACAUAUAUAUAUAUAUAUAUAUAUACUAGGGUCGGCCCGCCCUACGGGCGGGAUAAUAGUUAAUUUGAUAUUCACUAAAUGCUCGAGUUGAAAUUUGUUUUAAGAUUCAAGAAUUUGGUUAUCUGUUAUGUGUUACUUACUAGUAUGCAGUGGUAUAGUUGUUUUUCGAUUAUUCUUGCUUUGGUAUUGUAUCAAAUUAACUAAUUGUCCAACUCAUAAUUAUAGAUGUACAAAUGUGGAUUUGUGAUAAAGUUUGAUGACAAUAUUGUGUUUUUUUUAUUCUUAUUCAUAGUGGAGUGUGCAUGUGUCAGAAAGAGGCCUAUAUGAACUUUUAUAUUUUUGCGUAUGGAUUUUAAAUAUAUAUUAUUUUGUAUAAUGCAUACUUGCUCUACAACAUUUGCUUGUAGACUAAAAAAAUUGUUUUCUAUAUUUUUAAAAGAAAAAAUAUUUAGUCUAGAAUAUAACAUGAAUAUAUGUAUUGACUAUAUAUAGAAGUUGGGUGUUAUUUUAAAAUGACAUAUGUAUAGAGGUUUUUCAACCAUUACUUCACUGGCACAAAACAUUUAUAACUGCAAAUACUUUCUUUUAAAAGCAAAACUAAUAAAAGCGUGUACAACAAAUGUAUUUUGAUAUAUAUUAUAUGCAUCAAGUUAUAAAGGUUGGAAACAUUGCAAAACUGUGUGGAGCAAAGUUUUCAACUUCACGAUAUUCAUCUUGACGUCAGUUCAGUGCCGGCCCUGGCCACAAGCAGAAGAAGCAUGGACUUCCAUCCAACACGAUAAUAAGUAGUUUCGCGGCCACAUAUUUAUAAAAAGUGACUUUAGCCUAUUGGUUCUAAGAGAAAUUAUCAGUGCUGGAGGUGCUGGAUUCAAUUAUCCCUGACAGCUUUUUGUUUUAUUUUGGCCCCAAAUAUAAAAUGAGACACUUGUCACUCCCAUAACGCACGACUUGAUGAUGUGGCAUUACAGGAGGGAGACGAACAUAUUUUUAUAUAUAUAGAUAUAUAUAUAUAUAUAUAUAUAUAUAAAUAAAUGUAAUUUAUUGGUAAUUUUAUGUGGUGAUAUAUCCUAUCAGAACUAAAAUGAAAAUUUGGAACAACUAUUUAACAUAAAUGUUUUGGAAUAUAACGAAAAUAAAAAUAAUAAAAAUUAUAUAAUUUCUAGUUUUUCGGAUCAUCUUAGUACAACGUUUUUUGUGGCAUAUAUACAUGUCCAUAUUUAAGGUUAUUGAAGAGAAAUUAGUAAAUGCUAAUUUGGUAGCUAAUCUAUUGCUAGUUGAUUUUAUCCACAUAUUAAAUCAUUCAACGUUGCGUAUAUAUGGUUGUCGCUAAAUGGUAUUUUAAGGUGAUGACAUAUCGUAACAAAAAUUAAAAUAAAUGUUUGGAAUAAAAUUUUUAAAAAAUAAAACUAACCAAUCAUUUUUAAACGGUUUUUCCGGAUAAUCCUAAAAAUAGUUUUCAAAGACCUAUAUAUAUGUAUAUGUUCACAUUUAAGGUUUUCUACAAUAAACACACAAAAUAUUUAUUUACAGUGAAGAGUUACAAUGUCAGCAUCUAAAUUUGCUAUAUUUUGUAUUGUUCUAGUGUUUCUUGCUAGUUGUCAUGAAUGCAUGUCAUAUAUUUCUUACAUUUCGUCUAAUCCCCUUUUAUCAUUAUCAUUAAAAUAAUAAUAAUAUCCUCUAUCAUCUUUUUAAUUUUUUUUAAGUUUUAAAUUUUAUACAGGUGCCGACCUCAACAGAGGACCCAAACCAACAUGCUCUAAAACACCAAAGAAUGUUUGGUGUUGCAGCAACAAUUCACACUGCCGGGAAACCAAAGCGCUAUGUGAGAAGAUUUGUUGGGUCUGCGGUUGAAUUUUUCUGAAGAGAACUUCUAUAAUUAUUUAUUCCAAAUAUUUUUUUACUUCCAUUAGUCUAAAUUCGAAUAAUAAAUAGUAAUUCUUAUUCCAAAUAAGAAUCUAGUAUUAUGAACUAAAUAAUUUGGUAUACCUUCGAAAGAGAUCGAAAUAUAUAUUGUUGCUUAUGGCUUUCUUCAAUUGUAUUUUAGAAGUUUAUAAAUGUUAUGUAAAAUUGAGAAUAAAACUAUUUUAGACUGUUUAACAGAAUUUAAAUGUUGUAACCAAUUGGCUUAUAAAAU
This 7054-nucleotide long non-coding RNA is filed under the name Brassica rapa (field mustard). RNAcentral's name for it is "long non-coding RNA (BRAP_LNC007099)". The record is from RNAcentral. Lineage: Eukaryota; Viridiplantae; Streptophyta; Magnoliopsida; Brassicales; Brassicaceae.